RNAcentral lists this transfer-messenger RNA (542 nucleotides) under Candidatus Vogelbacteria bacterium CG10_big_fil_rev_8_21_14_0_10_45_14. It matches the Rfam family "transfer-messenger RNA". Rfam says of the family: Bacterial tmRNA, also known as 10Sa RNA or SsrA, is named for its dual tRNA and mRNA-like properties. Its role is to liberate the mRNA from a stalled ribosome. To accomplish this part of the tmRNA is used as a reading frame that ends in a translation stop signal. The record is from RNAcentral. Lineage: Bacteria; Candidatus Vogeliibacteriota.
GGGGAUGAUUGGCCUCGACGAGGUACAACCUUUCCGAUGCAAACCGAGGGUGUACACAGCCUCGCAAAUCACGUGUACAAAUUCCUAUUUGCAAACAGCAACAAGGUAGCGUCUCCGUACUUUAACGGUUUCGCUCUCGCUCACGCGUAAUCAAUCGCAGAGCCGUCCUCCUCCAUCUCGCUCGAAGGUGGAGUAAAGGGUGUAAUAAAUCGAGAUUACUCUAAGAAACACUCCGAUUCCUAGAGGAAAAUAAGGAGCCCGACGUGGUGCGGUUUUGUCCGCUUAGAUUCGCACCAUGUUUAAACAAAUAGGACUUGCGAAAUUGGAUGCAGUUCGCGAAGCAAGCCUGACUUGCGACCAAGCUGUAUAUAGACAUACAGCGCGAAAGCAAGUAAGGCGAAGCCCGUCCGAACGGAUGUUCAUCCGGGCGGGCGACAAAGAAAUGCGCCAAUUUCGCAAGUCCUAUAAGAAAGCGGUCUAUGUUUGUAGAUAUCGGCAAGCAACUAUCUCGCACGGCGGUUCGAUUCCGCCCAUCUCCACCA